RNAcentral lists this ribosomal RNA (2592 nucleotides) under Sphaerospora sp. FM09 ex Ptychadena anchietae. RNAcentral's name for it is "partial 18S ribosomal RNA". It matches the Rfam family "Eukaryotic small subunit ribosomal RNA". The record is from RNAcentral. Lineage: Eukaryota; Metazoa; Cnidaria; Myxozoa; Bivalvulida; Sphaerosporidae.
ACCUGGUUGAUCCUGCCAGUUAUGAUAUGCUUAUCUCAAAGACUAAGCCAUGCAUGCCUAAGUUCAUACCUUUACACGGUGAAACUGCGAAUGGCUCAGUAAAUCAGUUAUAGUUUAUUUGAUUGUACCGGGUGCUCUGCACAUACAUUGGAUAACUGUGGGAAACUAGAGCUAAUACAUGUCAACUGCUUUCACGGGGAAGCGUGCAUUUAUUCGCCUAGGAAACCAGCACGUUUGCGAUUUAAGACGGGUCGGGAGCAAUCCCAGCUCGUUGCACGGUCGCGGCGUUCACGAUGAUUCUGAAUAACUGAUUGCUGAUCGUAUGAGGCCUCGUGCCUACGACAUUUCAAUUAAAUUUCUGCCCUAUCAUACUUGUUGGUAGUGUAGCGGCCUACCAAGGUGGUGACGGGUAACGGGGAAUCAGGGUUCGAUUCCGGAGAGGGAGCAUUAAAAACGGCUACCACAUCCAAGGAUGGCAGCAGGCGCGCAAACUAUCCAAUCCAGACAAUGGGAGAUGGUGACGAGACAUAUUGGAACUCACUGGCGUUGCCGGUAGAGUUACCAGAAUGACCGUAAUUUAAGUCCUUCGUGGAUGACUACGGGAGGGCAAGUCUGGUGCCAGCAGCCGCGGUAAUACCAGCUCCUGUAGCAUAUAUAAUUGUUGCGGUUAAAAAGCUCGUAGUUGGAUUACAGUGCGUUCAAGUGAUGGUUCGGCGGUAUAGCUACCAGAGGUAGUUGUGUGGUGCUGUAUCACUCGGUCGGUCUACACCUCACGGCCCACCAUACGGCCCUGCGAUGCUCCGUCUCAUGGUGUGCGCAAAGUGGAUGCCAUCUGGUCGCAGUCUCUGUGCCAGAUGCAUUCAUGCACACCACUGUUGGCGGAGCCUCUCGAGGGGAACGUGUGUGGAUACCGUAGGUGUGCUAAAAGGUCGGUCGAGUGUGUAAAAAGCAGUGCCAUACGCAUAUCUGGCUGAAACGUCACAAGAGCGUGCUUUCACGUUGGACCCCCGUGAUUGUGCCCUUAAGUGGGUACACGGGACGUCUGGCGAAUUGUGCCUUGAGUAAAAUAGAGUGCUCCAAGCAGGCGUGACUAAUAAUCAUUGCCCGUAUACUCCAGCAUGGAACGAAUGUUCAAUUGCUUGAACCACCCCAUCGGCCUAGUUAGCUGGUUAAUUGCAAACGGCGUGUCUGCAAGGUGUGGAUGCGUGCUGCAAAGUGCGUCCACCACACUUCUGUGGGCACUGCUGGCUAGUGCCAUGUUCACGGACUGGUGUACCUGCUGCUACGACCGUGCACAGUUCAUCGUCAUAGAGCUGACGCGCGGGUAACGGCCGUGGGUUCCGAGGGUGUCCACCACACUUGGUGUGGCGCGUCACCCUGACCCCGGCUUCCCCGCAUCACCUUUGGUGUUUGUCUGUGUGCGGACCCGUCGGUGGGAAUCAUGCACCUUCCGUGUAUGGGUAUCGGUUAACAGAGACAUUUGGGGGCAUUAGUAUUUGGCCGCGAGAGGUGAAAUUUUUAGACCGGUCAAAGACUAACAAUUGCGGAAGCAUUUGCCAAAGAUGUUUUCAUUAAUCAAGAACGAAAGUUGGAGGAUCGAAGACGAUUAGAUACCGUCGUAGUUCCAACUGUAAACUAUGCCAACCAGGGCUCAGGCCGGAUCAUAAUGUUGUGGAUCCAGGUUGGGCCCCCCGGGAAACCUAAAGUUUUUGGGUUCCGGGGGGAGUAUGGUCGCAAGGCUGAAACUUAAAGGAAUUGACGGAAGGGCACCACCAGGAGUGGAGCCUGCGGCCUAAUUUGACUCAACACGGGGAAUCUCACCAGGUCCGGACAUCGGAAGGAUUGACAGACUGACAGAUCUUUCAUGAUUCGGUGGAUGGUGGUGCAUGGCCGUUCUUAGUUGGUGGAGUGAUUUGUCAGGUUAAUUCCGGUAACGAACGAGACCGAUUCCUUUAUUUUGGCCGCAUUAAGUUUUCAACUGUGUGCCUGGGCAACAAAUGGUUCAGUGUGCUGGCCCCUGACGGCGCUCUCUGUGUGGCGUGUGUCUUUGCUCUCACUACCCGGUCGUUCAGCUAGCGGGGACCCAAUAAUGGUGGCCGUGAUGGCACAUCAGAAUGGCCUCGUACUGCGGCCGGGACCGAUGGUGGGGGUGUAUGGAUGCGCGUUUGCAUGGGGAAUCCGUCGUUGGGGGAUGGUGCGCUGGGCUAGCCCAGGUCAUGGUGUAUGUUCAUGCGCCUUCAUAAAGGGACUACCGGUGGCAAACCGGGGGAAGUAUGGCAAUAGCAGGUCAGUGAUGCCCCUCGAUGUCCUGGGCUGCACGCGCGCUACAAUGGUAACGACAGUGAGUUUCUGCGCCGAAAGGUGUGGGUAAUCUUGUCAAUCGUUGCCGUGCUGGGGAUUGAGCCUUGAAAUUAUUGCUCAUGAACCUGGAAUUCCUUGUAAGUACGAGUCACCAGCUCGUGCUGAAUACGUCUCUGCCCUUUGUACACACCGCCCGUCGCUACUACCGAUUGAAUGAUAUGGUGAGGACAUGGGAUUGAACGUCCCCUAUGUGGGACGGCUGAGAGCAUGUCCAAACUAUAUCAGUCAGAG